Long non-coding RNA from Hipposideros armiger (great roundleaf bat), 646 nucleotides. RefSeq lists it as uncharacterized. The record is from RefSeq and is a predicted model, not a curated record. The transcript has 2 exons. NCBI's taxonomy places the organism in Eukaryota, Metazoa, Chordata, Mammalia, Chiroptera, Hipposideridae.
AAAACGUGAACAAAUGUGAAGCUGCAGGUGGUCCUCCCUCCCAGCCCCCAUGAGGCAAAGUUGAAUGACAAUGCCCAUCGCAUGGUGGCUGACCUGCUCAUCUGUGACUGCUGGUAAUACGAUUCCUACAGACAUUACCAAUUUGCCAUGUAUAAGCUGCGCGAUGCUGCAUUCAGUGGGAGGAGUGAGAAAUUCGAAGCAGACAGACACCGAGACACAGGUCAGUUGGAGUGAGUUUAUUAGAAGUUAGAAAGACACAAGUACACAGAUCACUCAACACAUAGAGAUUAGUAGAGAAAAGCAGAACUGCCAAAAUUCCACACACAGACUACAGAGCCAAUGCUACUGGAGCGUGGCGCUGAGGGGGGCGCCGGGCCCGGGGCAGCCUCGCCAGGCCUCUGGGUACAUGUGGGAGUGGCUCAUGCCCUAUUCUUACAGCCUGGAGGUGUCGACGGGCACCAUCAUGCCAUUGCAACAACACCUGUGGGAGGCUCGGAACUACCUCUUAUCAAAGUGAACAGCUAAUCGCUCUUAACUAGUAAGCUCAUGUAUUACACAGUAAGUGGUUUUUAUUAAUACAAUUUAUAUUACUAAGUACAUAUCUGGCAAAGCUACAAGUAUACAGAGAUGAAGAACCCCCCAAAAA